This 253-nucleotide ribosomal RNA is filed under the name uncultured bacterium. RNAcentral's name for it is "partial 16S ribosomal RNA". It matches the Rfam family "Bacterial small subunit ribosomal RNA", at positions 524 to 776 of the family's 1533-position model. The record is from RNAcentral.
UACGUAGGGGGCAAGCGUUGUCCGGAAUUAUUGGGCGUAAAGAGCGUGUAGGCGGUCCGGUAGGUCAGCUGUGAAAGUCAAGGGCUCAACCCUUGAAUGCCGGUUGAUACUGUCGGGCUAGAGUCCGGAAGAGGCGAGUGGAAUUCCCGGUGUAGCGGUGAAAUGCGCAGAUAUCGGGAGGAACACCAAUGGCGAAGGCAGCUCGCUGGGACGGUACUGACGCUGAGACGCGAAAGCGUGGGGAGCAAACAGG